Non-coding RNA from Bactrocera neohumeralis, 74 nucleotides. NCBI's taxonomy places the organism in Eukaryota, Metazoa, Arthropoda, Insecta, Diptera, Tephritidae. The record is from the annotation of a RefSeq genome assembly.
GGGCCUGUGGCGCAAUUGGUUAGCGCAAGCGACUCAUAAUCGCUAGGUUACGGGAUCAUGCCCCGUCAGGCCCA